This 253-nucleotide ribosomal RNA is filed under the name uncultured bacterium. Its description in RNAcentral is "partial 16S ribosomal RNA". It matches the Rfam family "Bacterial small subunit ribosomal RNA", at positions 524 to 776 of the family's 1533-position model. The record is from RNAcentral.
UACGAAGGGUGCAAGCGUUAAUCGGAAUUACUGGGCGUAAAGCGUGCGUAGGCGGUUUGUUAAGUCCGAUGUGAAAGCCCUGGGCUCAACCUGGGAAUGGCAUUGGAAACUGGCGAGCUAGAGUAAGGUAGAGGAGUGCGGAAUUCCUGGUGUAGCGGUGAAAUGCGUAGAGAUCAGGAGGAACAUCCGUGGCGAAGGCGGCACUCUGGACCAUUACUGACGCUGAGGCACGAAAGCGUGGGGAGCAAACAGG